GCAUUAUUAUAUGGCUUUUCAAAAUUCUCUAUUCUGAUUGGUUGACAAGCGGUCCGUAAAAACCCAUAUCCGGACCGUGGUCCGUAUUUUCCGUAUCUGGUGUCCCGGAUGUCGUUUAUCUGGCGGGAAAUUUUUGCUUUGCAAACAGAAAAAAAUUUGCUUUUUAAUUUUCCAAUUGUGUGUCAUUAAAAUUUACAGAUAAAAAUUUCAAACAACC
Non-coding RNA from Paramuricea clavata, 217 nucleotides. The record is from the annotation of a GenBank genome assembly. Lineage: Eukaryota; Metazoa; Cnidaria; Anthozoa; Malacalcyonacea; Plexauridae.